Molecule: long non-coding RNA, 408 nt
Organism: Glycine soja
Lineage: Eukaryota; Viridiplantae; Streptophyta; Magnoliopsida; Fabales; Fabaceae
Exons: 3
Source: RefSeq, a predicted model, not a curated record
UCCCCUUAAUGUAUAUGUGUAUCUGUACAUAUUAUUCCUUGUUUAAAAUGGGAAUGAUGAUGUUUUACUCACUGACACCAAAACAAACAAGCUCAGUAAGCCUGCUUAUGAUAUGCUCGAUGAUUGCAAGAUAUGCAGCACCCAUUUCAUACAACUUUCUCAAUCUCAUUAAUCUUGGUGGGGGUAGAAAAACAAUUUUUGAACAAAAAAUGGGAAAGAUCAAUGACGCUGUUCCCUUUUUUGGAAAAGAAUUCAACAAAAUUUACCCCCUCAUCAUGGUUGUAUACACUUCACUAAUAGCAAGCAAUAUUUUUAACCGGGUCAUCAAGUAUUGUGGGAAUUGGAAAAUAUUCAAGUUCAAUGAUGAUGCAGAAGAUAUGGAUGGAUUUAACCCAUCCGGAGUAAUAA